CCUACGGGUGGCAGCAGUGGGGAAUAUUGCACAAUGGGGGAAACCCUGAUGCAGCGAAGCCGCGUGAGGGAAGAAGUAUUUCGGUAUGUAAAGCUCUAUCAGCCGGGAAGAAAAUGACGGUACCUGAUUACGAAGCCCCGGCUCACUACGUGCCAGCAGCCGCGGUCAUACGUGGGGGGCAAGCGUUAUCCGGAUUUACUGGGUGUAAAGGGAGCGUUGACGGGAGCACAAGUCUGGAGGUAAAUGCCCGGGGUUAACCCCCGAACUGCCUUGGAAACUGAGGAGCUAGAGUGCAGGAGAGGUAAGUGGAAUUCGUAGUGUAGCGGUGAAAUGCGUAGAUAUUAGGAGGAACACCAGUGGCGAAGGCGGCAUACUGGACUGUAACUGACGUUGAGGCUCGAAAGCGUGGGGAGCAAACAGGAUUAGAUACCCGAGUAGUC
Molecule: ribosomal RNA, 440 nt
Filed under: uncultured bacterium
Lineage: Bacteria
Description: partial 16S ribosomal RNA
Rfam family: Bacterial small subunit ribosomal RNA
Source: RNAcentral